This 187-nucleotide microRNA precursor is filed under the name Medicago truncatula (barrel medic). RNAcentral's name for it is "miR2632a stem-loop (mtr-MIR2632a)". The record is from miRBase by way of RNAcentral. Lineage: Eukaryota; Viridiplantae; Streptophyta; Magnoliopsida; Fabales; Fabaceae.
AGGUCAUUUGAAUUUUCAUCCCUGAAGUUACUAAUCCUUCCAAUCUGCCCCUGCAAAUAUUAAUCAUUUGACUUUUGGUCCUAAUUACAUCUGAUUAGUAACUUAGGACCAAAAGUCAAAUGAUUAAUAUUUGCAAGGGCAGAUUGGAAGGAUUAGUAACUUCAGCGACGAAAAUUCAAAUGGCCUA